UACAGAGGUGGCAAGCGUUGUUCGGAAUUACUGGGCGUAAAGGGCGCGUAGGCGGCCUUCUAAGUCAGACGUGAAAUCCCCAGGCUUAACCUGGGAACUGCACUCGAGACUGCAUUGCUAGAGUAUGGGAGAGGGAAGUGGAAUUUCCGGUGUAGCGGUGAAAUGCGUAGAUAUCGGAAGGAACAUCAGUGGCGAAAGCGACUUCCUGGACCAAUACUGACGCUCAUGUGCGAAAGCGUGGGGAGCGAACAGG
RNAcentral lists this ribosomal RNA (253 nucleotides) under uncultured bacterium. Its description in RNAcentral is "partial 16S ribosomal RNA". It matches the Rfam family "Bacterial small subunit ribosomal RNA", at positions 524 to 776 of the family's 1533-position model. The record is from RNAcentral.